This 1354-nucleotide ribosomal RNA is filed under the name uncultured bacterium. RNAcentral describes it as "bacterial SSU rRNA". It matches the Rfam family "Bacterial small subunit ribosomal RNA", at positions 28 to 1381 of the family's 1533-position model. The record is from RNAcentral.
GAUGAACGCUAGCGGCAGGCCUAAUACAUGCAAGUCGAACGGGAUUAUCCAGCUUGCUGGAUAUGAGAGUGGCGAACGGGUGCGUAACGCGUAUGCAACCUACCUUCAUCAGGGGGAUAGCCCGGAGAAAUCCGGAUUAACACCGCAUAAAAACACAGUACGGCAUCGUACAAUGUUCAAAUUUUUAUAGGAUGGAGAUGGGCAUGCGUGUCAUUAGCUAGUUGGUAAGGUAACGGCUUACCAAGGCGACGAUGACUAGGGGAUCUGAGAGGAUGACCCCCCACACUGGUACUGAGACACGGACCAGACUCCUACGGGAGGCAGCAGUAAGGAAUAUUGGUCAAUGGAGGCAACUCUGAACCAGCCAUGCCGCGUGCAGGAAGACGGCCCUAUGGGUUGUAAACUGCUUUUAUGUCGGAAUAAACCUAGGUACGAGUACUUAGCUGAAUGUACGGCAAGAAUAAGGAUCGGCUAACUCCGUGCCAGCAGCCGCGGUAAUACGGAGGAUCCGAGCGUUAUCCGGAUUUAUUGGGUUUAAAGGGAGCGUAGGCGGCCUGUUAAGUCAGGGGUGAAAGACGGUGGCUCAACCAUCGCAGUGCCCUUGAUACUGACGGGCUUGAAUAUAGUUGAGGUAGGCGGAAUGUGACAAGUAGCGGUGAAAUGCAUAGAUAUGUCACAGAACACCAAUUGCGAAGGCAGCUUACUAAGCUACGAUUGACGCUGAGGCUCGAAAGCGUGGGGAUCAAACAGGAUUAGAUACCCUGGUAGUCCACGCCCUAAACGAUGAUAACUCGAUGUUGGCGAUAUACAGUCAGCGUCCAAGCGAAAGCGUUAAGUUAUCCACCUGGGGAGUACGCCCGCAAGGGUGAAACUCAAAGGAAUUGACGGGGGCCCGCACAAGCGGAGGAGCAUGUGGUUUAAUUCGAUGAUACGCGAGGAACCUUACCCGGGCUUGAAAGUUACUGAAGAUAGCAGAGAUGCUAUCGUCCUUCGGGACAGGAAACUAGGUGCUGCAUGGCUGUCGUCAGCUCGUGCCGUGAGGUGUUGGGUUAAGUCCCGCAACGAGCGCAACCCCUAUGUUUAGUUGCCAGCGGGUAAAGCCGGGGACUCUAAACAGACUGCCUGUGCAAACAGAGAGGAAGGAUGGGACGACGUCCAGUCAUCAUGGCCCUUACGUCCGGGGCUACACACGUGCUACAAUGGGAAGUACAAAAGGCUGCUACUUAGCAAUAAGAUGCCAAUUUCAAAAAGCCUUUCACAGUUCGGGAUCGGGGUCUGCAACUUGAACCCCAUGAAGUUGGAUUCGCUAGUAAUCGCGAAUCAGCAAUGACGCGGUGAAUAAGUUUCCGGGCCU